CUUUUCUCUUUCUUGGAUGAUUCAUAGAGCACUUCAGGAUCUCACAGUGCUUUUGAUUUAUUAUGAUUAGCAUCAACUAUCAUUAGAGGGGCUCCAAAUAAGUCUGGAUAUAUGAAUUUUCUGGUUUCAAUUUCUGAACAAAACUGAGAGCAAGUACAUUUAGCCACCAGGGGACUGACAGAACCCGAAGGAAAAAUACAAGUGUUCAUUGACCUCACAUAAAACACAGUAAACGGCACAGAGAAUUAGGAGAAAAUUAAAUCCAUCCAGACUUGGAGUAAUUUUGCCUAAGAGAGUCUAAUUAGUCACGUUGGAGUGUGAUCAGAACCUCCAUAUUAAUACAACCCACCCACGCCCUCUCCUUCAGAUUGUGACUUUAGGAAACAUAUCACGGGAGAGUACCGUCUGAGCACUGUCCAGGGACUAGGCAGAAGUGAGGCAAUUUCCCCCUCAAUUGUUGCCACAGCCACACUGGGGAUUGCAAUUUUACUGUGGCUCCUUGCCCCAAGGGCUGCAGGGCAUGGCAUUUGUUUCAGAGCUGGCACUGUCACUACCCAUGGAGCCAUGCCUGUAGGGCUGGCAAACAUCCAAGGAGAAUCAUUUACUUGCAGAGAAAAAGAGGAAAGAGGCCAGUUAACAAACAAAGGUGAGAGGGCCAUGUCCAUGAUGGCACGCCAUGCUGUGAGCAGGAUCAGGUGAAGGAGGCUGAGGAAGAAAGAAAAGGGGAAGUAGGGGGUUAUGAAGGGAUAUGAUCAAGGUAGCAAUGGUGCAGCUGCCAAAUAAGCUAUUAGAAAUCAAUCAAGGAGAAUUAGGUGUCAGGAAAACAUAGGAGACCAGCCCAGGCAGAGAGUCAACACCUCUGAAAUCUGCAGAAGUUGAAGAAACAAAGCAAGAUGGGUUGUCAACAUGGAGCAUUCUGGAGUUUUCACCCCAGAAAAUUGCUGCAUGAUCUCAGCAUUCAGGAAAGGACCCAGAUGCCAAGGGAGCUUUCUAUUCCAGCCCUAGCUGCAUUUAUAUGCCUUUUGACUCCAGUGAAACUCAGUUUCAGUGCUCUGCUGACCAGAAAGAAGGACAAUGUGAAAGGAAGAAAGAAAGAAAGAAAGAAAAAAAAAUCACUUACUAGACCAAGAAUCAAGAGAUCAGGUUCUAAUUCUAGCCCUGUUACCUGUCAGUGGGAUAAUCCUGUGUAAACCAUUUAGAGUCUACAACAGUUUCUUCCUUUUUAAAAUUCAGUAAUAGACUGUGUUUUCCCCGUGUAUCUUACAGGAUUGUUGUAAAGAUCAAACAAAUUAAUAAAUGAGCAAAUGUUUUGACAAUUAACUCACAAUUAAUUAACAGUGGCUUGGUAUUGAGGGUGCCAUCUCUCCUUUCAUCUCCGCAAUAAUCCCAUGCAGCAGGCAUAGCUCGAUCCAUUUGAAAACCUGAGCCCAGCGAGAUACCCAGUGACUUGCUAGAGCUUAAUAGCCAUAGAGCAGGACAGCCGGGAUUCAAAACCAAGCCUCCUGACUCUAAGUGCUUUUCUCACUAUUAUGUCGAAUCAUAUGAAAUUGCUAUUUUUGUAGGUCAAAAAAAAAAUCAAAUGUCAGCAAUUUCAUAUGGUUUAACCUGGUAGAACACAUCUGUACAAAGAACUAUUGAAAUUCAAGAGAGCAGAACUAUUGAGUAGUAGCUUAGGCUCUGAUUAGCACCAUUUAGGAACAAUGUUCCCUUAUA
Long non-coding RNA from Papio anubis (olive baboon), 1713 nucleotides. Lineage: Eukaryota; Metazoa; Chordata; Mammalia; Primates; Cercopithecidae. The record is from Ensembl.